GGGGCUGUGGCUCAAUGGUAGAGCGCUUGCCUAGUAUGUGUGAGGCACUGGGUUCAAUUCCCAGAACCACA
RNAcentral lists this transfer RNA (71 nucleotides) under Ictidomys tridecemlineatus (thirteen-lined ground squirrel). RNAcentral's name for it is "Spermophilus tridecemlineatus (thirteen-lined ground squirrel) tRNA". It matches the Rfam family "tRNA". From Rfam's summary of the family: Transfer RNA (tRNA) molecules are approximately 80 nucleotides in length. Their secondary structure includes four short double-helical elements and three loops (D, anti-codon, and T loops). The record is from Rfam by way of RNAcentral. Lineage: Eukaryota; Metazoa; Chordata; Mammalia; Rodentia; Sciuridae.